Molecule: long non-coding RNA, 1774 nt
Organism: Vidua macroura (Pin-tailed whydah)
Lineage: Eukaryota; Metazoa; Chordata; Aves; Passeriformes; Viduidae
Exons: 3
Source: RefSeq, a predicted model, not a curated record
UGCACUAGACAUUUAUAAUUUGUUCUGUCUGUCAGAACGGGACUAUGAGAGGUUUUGGUGCAAAUUCAUUAUCUCUGGCAAAACAUAACAUAUAGUAGGAAGUGAAAAAGACCGUGGCAAUGGAUGAAAAACAAUAGGGCUUCAGUUCAUCAGCAACAAAAGCGUUGGGGAAAUUGGUUGAAUUUCGGAGCACGUCCUCCUAAGCAGAGAGGCUGGACUACACCUUGGCCAACCCCCACAAAAACUUGCAGAACCUCAUAUACAACAGUUCACUUUUUACUCCGGGGUGUAGGAAACAGUGAGGAAAAAGAAAAAAAAAAUGGUAAACCCAAGCCAACUUUCUCCAUCUCUCUCCCGUUUUCAUGGAUGGAAGAUUUUAAACUAUUUUAGAGUCAUUGGAACAAGAACAACACCGUGGAUCUAAGGGACACUUUUAAAUAGGGAUGGAGAGGGGAAAUACUUGAAUUUCUGGAGACCCGACAGAGCUUUUUCUGCUCCUGGGGGGCUUGGCUGUGGGAAUCUUUGUUUGACACCAGGGACGCAACUCACGCCCUACAUGUGGGGUAAAAAUCAUUCCCUGAUAAAGGCGAAGAUAUAGCAUGGCUAGUGACCUAUCUUCCUGAGGAGAAUGGCUGAGAUGUCUUUGAAAUUAUUCCUGGAAUUAGACCAGCAUAAGAUGUCCUCUACCAAAGUGAGAGGUGGCAAGGCGGCCACUGGGGCCCUUCCCAGUGUGGCUGGGACCAUGCAGCCAGGACUAUCUCAGCACAGUCCACAGCAAACUGUGCUUGCUUGGCUGCUUUUAACUAGCCAUGCUGAGGGCAGAAGGGCAGAGGCGGCAGCAGCAGCUUCUCCUUUCAGCGCCCCACAUGAAGAGAGGCACUGAAUGGAGCUGGCACUGUGGCAGCUGGCGCCACCUGCGCUGUGCCGGUGGGGACCACGUGGCCAACAGUGAGGGACAUGACAAACAAUUCCCCAGUGCGGAGCCUGGAUGCGAUCAACCCUAUAAGAACCUUUCAGUUUAUAGAACUUGAUAACAACCAAAUCUACGGACACCAAUUCUCUCCUAAGUCUGAGAAAAGGAAAAGGGGAAGACACAUGAGAACAACAUGGGGACACCAAGGUCAGUGAAAGGAGGGAGGAGCAGGAGGUGUUCCAGGCUUCAGAACUGAGAUUCUUCUACAAGCUAUGGUGAGAACUAUAAUACAACAAACUGUUUUCCUGUAACUCAUUAAGUGCAUGAAGGGAUGCAGAGGUCCACUCGCAGCCCGUGAGAAAAUGUGUUCAUGCUGAAGCAUGUGGAUGCUGAAAAGCUGUACUCUAGUGGGAAACUCGAACAGAGAGAGAGAAUAUAGAGAAGGAGAACCCUUUCUUCCAAACCAGAACAAAUCAUCCUUAAAAACUACACCCCAUGAACUAAAAUGACCCAUGCCAUGUAGUUCAAGAAGACUGUUUUGCCCGUGGGAGUGACACACAUUGCAGCAGGUUGGGCAGGACUGCUACUCCUGAAAAUUAGAACCACAUUGGAGAAGUUCACAAAGAACUGUCUCCCAUGGGAAUGACCCCACAAUAUAACAGAAGAUAGUCCUCUCCCUAAGUGAACUGAAGAGUUUUAGAAGUGACAAACUGAGUAAAAACCCCAUGUUUUGUCUCCCUGCACUGUCAGUGAGAAGGAAAGAAGGGCUGGGGGGGAGGAGGAGGAGGUGUUCUAAAGGUUUAUUUUAGUUCUCAUUUUCUUCUUUUAAUUCUUUAAUAAAUUUUUCUUCAUGCCUUUUAA